CAAAUUUGAAAUCUGGCCCCCUCGGGGGUCCGAGUUGUAAUUUGGAGAGGAUGCUUCGGGUUCGGUCCCGGUCCAAGUGCCCUGGGACGGGCCGUCGGAGAGGGUGAGAAUCCCGUCUGCGACCGGUGACUGGGCCUGGGUGAAGCUCCCUCGACGAGUCGAGUUGUUUGGGAAUGCAGCUCUAAAUGGGUGGUAAAUUUCAUCUAAAGCUAAAUAUGGGCCGGAGACCGAUAGCGCACAAGUAGAGUGAUCGAAAGAUGAAAAGCACUUUGGAAAGAGAGUCAAACAGCACGUGAAAUUGUUGAAAGGGAAGCGCUUGCGAUCAGACUCGCCCGGGGAGGUUCAGCUGGCACUUGUGCCGGUGCAUUGCUACCCGGGCGGGCCAGCGUCGGUUUGGAUGGCCUGUCAAAGGCCCCCGGAAGGUAGCGCCCUUUGGGGCGUCUUAUAGCCGGGGGUGUCAUGCGGCCUGUCCGGACCGAGGAACGCGCCUUUGGGCUCGGACGCUGGCGUAAUGGUCGUAAGCGGCCCGUCUUGAAACACGGACCAAGGAGUCUAACAUCCACGCGAGUGUUCGGGUGUUCAAAACCCGUCCGCGCAGUGAAAGCGAACGGAGGUGGGAACCCCCUGGGGUGCACCAUCGACCGAUCCUGAUGUCUUCGGAUGGAUUUGAGUAGGAGCGUGGCUGUUGGGACCCGAAAGAUGGUGAACUAUGCCUGAAUAGGGCGAAGCCAGAGGAAACUCUGGUGGAGGCUCGCAGCGGUUCUGACGUGCAAAUCGAUCGUCAAAUUUGGGUAUAGGGGCGAAAGACUAAUCGAACCAUCUGGUAGCUGGUUCCUGCCGAAGUUUCCCUCAGGAUAGCAGUAACGAGAUCAGUUUUAUGAGGUAAAGCGAAUGAUUAGAGGCCUUGGGGUUGAAACAACCUUAACCUAUUCUCAAACUUUAAAUAUGUAAGAAGCCCUUGUUGCUUUGUUGAACGUGGGCGCUGGAAUGGAUCGUUACUAGUGGGCCAUUUUUGGUAAGCAGAACUGGCGAUGCGGGAUGAACCGAACGCGAGGUUAAGGUGCCGGAAUGCACGCUCAUCAGACACCACAAAAGGUGUUAGUUCAUCUAGACAGCCCGRCGGUGGCC
This 1128-nucleotide ribosomal RNA is filed under the name Elaphomyces asperulus. Its description in RNAcentral is "LSU rRNA". It matches the Rfam family "Eukaryotic large subunit ribosomal RNA", at positions 110 to 1253 of the family's 3401-position model. Lineage: Eukaryota; Fungi; Ascomycota; Eurotiomycetes; Eurotiales; Elaphomycetaceae. The record is from RNAcentral.